RNAcentral lists this ribosomal RNA (484 nucleotides) under uncultured bacterium. Its description in RNAcentral is "partial 16S ribosomal RNA". It matches the Rfam family "Bacterial small subunit ribosomal RNA", at positions 30 to 507 of the family's 1533-position model. The record is from RNAcentral.
AUUGAACGCUGGCGGCAGGCCUAACACAUGCAAGUCGAGCGGAUGAAGGGAGCUUGCUCCUGGAUUCAGCGGCGGACGGGUGAGUAAUGCCUAGGAAUCUGCCUGGUAGUGGGGGAUAACGUCCGGAAACGGGCGCUAAUACCGCAUACGUCCUGAGGGAGAAAGUGGGGGAUCUUCGGACCUCACGCUAUCAGAUGAGCCUAGGUCGGAUUAGCUAGUUGGUGGGGUAAAGGCCUACCAAGGCGACGAUCCGUAACUGGUCUGAGAGGAUGAUCAGUCACACUUGAACUGAGACACGUUCCAGACUCCUAAGGGAGGCAGCAGUGGUGAAUAUUGGACAAUGGGCGAAAGCCUUAUCCAGCCAUGCCGCGUGUGUGAAGAAGGUCUUCGGAUUUUAAAGCACUUUAAGUUGGGAGGAAGGUCAGUAAGUUAAUACCUUGCUUUUUUGACGUUACCAACAGAAUAAGCACCGGCUAACUUCGUG